Molecule: ribosomal RNA, 292 nt
Filed under: uncultured bacterium
Lineage: Bacteria
Description: partial 16S ribosomal RNA
Rfam family: Bacterial small subunit ribosomal RNA
Source: RNAcentral
GUGUCAGCAGCCGCGGUAAUACGAAGGGUGCAAGCGUUAUUCGGAAUCACUGGGCGUAAAGGGUGCGUAGACGGUAUGUUAAGUUUGUUGUUAAAGGCUCCAGCCUAACUGGAGUAUUGCGAUGAAAACUGGCGUGCUAGAGGGUGAGAGAGAGAAGUGGAAUUCCCGGAGUAGCGGUAAAAUGCGUGGAUCUCGGGAGGAACACCAAUGGCGAAGGCAGCUUCUUGGCUCAUACCUGACGUUGAGGCACGAAAGCGUGGGGAGCAAACAGGAUUAGAUACCCCUGUAGUCC